UUUUUUUUUUUUUUUUUUUUUUUAAGAUAUCUUUGUUUCUAGUGUCCUCCAAACUUCUAAUGUUGAAAGAUCUAAUUUCAUUGCAUAGAGCAUUGCAGAAGGCUCUGCCAGGCAAUAUUGCUGAUUGAGAAUACAUUAAUCUGAGUGCUACUGGCAAUUGGCAAGUAUACAUUGUGCUUGUUUCUAAAGUUCUCUUCCCCCCUGUCCUUAAAGUUCAGAUAGUUUUUACAGCACCCAAGGCAGGCGGUAUUCCUUAAUUUUUUGUAUUUUACAUGCUCUUCUAUUUGGAAUAAGCUGAACAGGUAAUGAAAGAGAAAAAAGGGAACAACCCCCAAAGCACAAGAAACGUAUCUCUCAUUUUGCCUACAUUUCUGUUUUCACAGCAGUCUGAGUUUGUUUUUGCCUUGCUUUCUCUCCUGAAGGUUGGAAAAAUGCCAGUGAUGCACGUAAGCCAGAUGUUUGGAAGCUUGCAGAGCCAGCUACUUUGAAAAAGAAAAACGUUAGGGAAGGGACUUCUCAAGGGCUAGACAUUUGCUAAUAAAUGAUGGAGCUCUUUUUUCUCUGCAGAUGUUCCAUUCUAACAGAAGGAAGAUUCUUUCUUUAGUUUGAGGUUUAUCUCGAUUUAGCUUUGUUCUUUUGUCCUCUGCACUAGAGAUGCGUGCUUUGUAGAUGAUACUGUGUGCUUUCUAUGUGUCCCUGCUGUUUGGGAAACUAAAUUCCUGUUAUAUGUUACUGCAAUGAACCAUCCUGGACCAGAUUUGCUCCUUAGACAGAUUUACCCCUUGCUGAGUUUGUAUCAAAGGGCCCAGUUUUACAAAAUGUUAAAAAGCUCUAUUUCAAAAUCUAGGAAAUAAGACUGCUAUCAGGCAACACUGGUAGCCAUGCAGGAUCAGGAUCUAAAUAUGUGCACUUGGUUUGAAAGAGUUUUUAUUUCAUUUCAUCUUUAGAUUAAAUACAAAGGUUUAAAUAAAUAUCAGUGCUGAUUGUUUACAAUUUUCUCCCCACCAUGGCUUUAAACAUUUAUUAUUCUGACUCUUUUAAAAUACACUGGCAUCUUUUUAUGGCUAUAUUAAGCAAACCUCCAGGGCAGCAGACAGGGCAGGGUAUUAUUCUGAGAUUAAGGGAAGAAAAUGAGAAAGAAGCAUAUGAACAAAGGCAGACUGAACAGGAAGAGGAUCACACUCUUUUUCCACUGCUGGAGGAAACUGCAGCCCCUAUUGCGUGUGCUCUGAAAGUGAUUAUCUCCAGCCACUAGUGCUCUCAGAGUCUAAUCUGCUGAUUCCUUGGCUUUUUUUCAUCAGGGUUGGAAAUGAGACAUCAAAAAGCAUUAAUAUCCAUCAUAGCCAAGAUCCAGACCAAAGGGACCAUUAGCUUAUCUAUAUAAAAUAUUUCCUGGAUAAAUUUUGUUUCCCAAACACAUUUUGAGGUGAUAAUUUACUAUUCUCAAUGCUUUCAUUUUGCAAGGGAGUUGACAGCUAUUGUGGAAAUGAAAUGUAUCUGGCACUGCAACUUCAUGUGCUAUCACUUUGAUUACAUUAUAUAUAUGCAUCCAAGGAUUUUGAUUGUGGAACCACAGAUGUCUGGGGCUUGGCUAAUAAAAGACAGAAUUGUCAGCUGCCCUGUAUCAAGGAUAACCGUCUCUCCCUGGGAAGCAGAGACUGAAGUGCCAGACUUAUGUCCUCACACUGUGAGGUCGCUAAUUAACUGCAACACCCAGAGUGGACCAGAGUGAAAUCAAUAUAUUAAGCCCCACUGAUGGCAAAAAAAUCCUCAAACCUCCAGUAAUUUAGAAACAAGAGCAAUGCAUGAGUAUGAAAAUACAAAAAAAUUUAUCCCUUUUUUUGGAUGCUGUUCAAUUCUUUUCUAAGAUUUUGAGAAGAGUAAUAUUUGUUUGUCUGUAUAUCAUAAGUCUGUACUACGACACUGCUCCAUUUAUCACCCUAUUAAAUUGAAUUGCUUAUUUAAUUAAAUGUUCUGUGCAACAGCAGUACCUGAUGUGCAUAACAGAUAGCAAUGCAGAGAAUGUCACAGUGCAAUACUGGGCUUUAAUUUUUGAAUAGUGUUGACUGGGCUGUCCAGAGUCUUGCAGAAGGACUCAGUGCUCCUCUGUGCUAAAAGGCAUUGUUUUCUCCCCACUGCCUCAGACUAGGGCUGCGUCCUUUGGGCACCUCACCAACAGUCUCACACCACCAAGGAAGGAACCCAGGUUCUUCAGCUACUCUGUCAAAAGCUUUUGUCUGCCAUCAGGACAGAUGGACAAAAUGCAAAGAAUUGUCUGCAAAUUGGAUCUUGAAAGGGGUUCGAAUAUCUACUCUAAUGCUAAGAUGAACAACCAAAAAAACUCUAACAAGCACCAAAGCUGCUUCAGUUCUGGGUCAUUCUCUGUGAAACCUAGAUUUGUGGCUGAGAAGGAGCACCUGUUCCUUCUGCUUAUUCUUGCUACCUAUACCCACAUAAAAAUUUUUUCCCUGUUGAGUGUCUUAGGUGCAAUUAACUAUGAACAGUGUGGUUUCUCCUGGAAGGCAAUUAAAGUGUUUGAUAAAUUAAAAACCACAAUGAUUGUAGGAAGUAUGUGUGGACAAGACUCACUCCAUUUAUGCCUUUUAUUAAUUGAUUCUAUGGGUGAGUGGUUGGAUACUUCCAACGCAGAUUACAGUUUGCAAUGUUGUGCAAAGCUGUGGCUAUUUUUUUGCUAAUGCAGCUACACUGAGCUCUAGAUGAAGAGGAUAGCAGAUGGACAGGAUUAAACUAUGUAGGGAACAGAAAUGAAAUUCUUUACUGUUUCAUUAUUAUGGCUAUAGGUAUCUAGUUCAUUCUGCAGCUUUUGUAUCAAUUUAAAUUCUUCAGCGCUGUGAUUAUUGUGUCACUGAAGAUUGCCUGCAUACAAGUGCAAGAUAAUUCUACCAUUUGAGACUUCUAUUUCCUGUUGCAUUACACAUCUUUUAUCAGAGCAUCACACAGACACAAAAUCUGUAGCUAUAAUCUGCUUGGCUACUUAAGUUGGCACUACAAACAUCUCUACCAGCAGCUAUGGUCUGUGCACUGGAUAUUAAUUUAAGUUGUAUUUGAGAUAUAUGUGAUAUGUUGAAAACCUUACGGUUUUUAUAAGGGCAGUGUGAAACCUCAGUUUCAUCCUGGUCAGCAGCCUCUCUGUGAGGUCUUGCCAGAUCACCUGUCACUGAGCACUUUGGGAAAUUUUCCAGUGGGCAGUACAAGACCUUUCUCAGGAACUGGCUGUAGAAUAUCUCGUCUGGAAAGAAGAGUAACCUGACUAUUUUCAGAACUAAAUCCAUAAUUAAUUUCUUUAAUUUAGACUCUCCUUCGACAAAAUUUUUCAUUCCCUUGCCAUCUAUAGGUGUGGAAGCAGAUAGGAGUCUAACAUCACAUACUGUCUUGAACACUGGUGCACAAAGCAUCAACACGCACCUAUGCAUCAAUCAGCCUAUGUUCCAAGGUGGCAGAAAGCAGCAUUUAAAUGCUAAAAUGACGGCUUGAGAUACCUGCAAAAUUAUUUAUUAAAAUAAUUUUGGCACAUUAGAUGAGUAGAGGAUAACAUCCCAUUACAUGUGCAUAAAUCAAAAGUAAUAUUCAGACUCUGUUCAUUGGGCUACUUAUUAAUGAAAACAUGAAAAUCUGUAAAAUAGUAUAUACAAAAUUAGUGAUAUUUUAAUAUCAAUAUCAUAAUGGUUAUUAUGGAAGUCCAUUUCCAGGAUAAACUGCAUUUCUUAUUAAUAGGGUAUAGGAAUCUGCUCUCAUUGCUCUACUAUCAGUGGAAAAGAAAGGGAGGUCAGGGUAAAAAACCCAAAAUUUCAAUUAUAUUUACAGCAGCAGCUGAAGGGGAACAAAAUCAAUGAAAGGAGCAUACCUAUUAGAGACCUGCAGUUGCCAUAAAAGUGAAACUAAAUCACACUGACAGUGUCUGAGCUUCAGAUAAAUUGCUUUGAAUUCAGAAUGGGAGCCUGAAGAAAUAAUGGAAAUUAUAUUGCAGUUGUUGAAGAAAGGAAUAAAACUUUUUAUAUCUGUUACUUCUCUAGAUUUUUUUAGUAUUUCAUGGAUCAAAUGCUGAUUUGUUUUUUUAUUAUUAUUUUUUUUGUUUCUCUAAGAGACAGAACAAUGCUGUCAAUCACCUUGGCACUGACUUAGUUAGGCUUUUAUGUGCUUUUUAGAGAUGUGAUAUUUCUCUUUGGUAGUCAUCCAAGGUGACCCAUAGUUAAGUCUCAGUUCUUGUUACAAAAACCCAAACAACAACAUAGAAACGCAAGAGAGAUGAGAUGAGAUGAUGAGAUGAGAUGAGAUGAGAUGAGAUGAGAUGAGAUGAGAUUGAGACGAGAUGAAAUAACUACUUUAAAUUUACUGUUUCAAUAACUCUAAAAUUCAGUUCAUUUACUGUGACAUCUGCAUGCAAUAGAAUCUUCUGCUGGUCCCUGUGAAUUUCAUUUUCAAGCGUAGCUGCACUUUCCAAAUUCAAAUUCACUGUAGCUUUUGGUUCUGAAAGACUCAGAAUUUAGCUGUCAUAUUAAUUGCCUUAACUCCUCGGUUUACUUUCUGCAAUAUCCCUGAGAAAUCUGCUGCAAUCUAGAUUUUACAAUAAUACAUUUUAUAAAAAUUCUUUGGUUUCUUCAUGAAUGGACACUUCAUACAUGGAUUUUGCUCAUGUCUUCUCAGAGAGCCCUGUGUUGAUGACCAACCAUACUCUCAAGUUACUUUUACUUAUACAGAGGAGGCAAAUGAAAUUGGGAAACAACCAGAGUGCAUUGGGAGAGAGGUUUCUCCAAUGCUUAUGCUUAUGUUAUGGAACCCCUUAUACAAGCACUGUGACCCUGUUGCUGUGCUUUCCAGAUUAUGUAUAUUAUUUUUGCUUAAUUUGAAACACUAUAGUUUGUUAAUUGUAUUUUUUUUCAGUUUUGUAGAACAUAUCUUGGAUGCUGAUAAUUGCUAAGAUAUAUAUAUUUAUAGAGUCUUGAAUUGUUGUUAAUACCAAUGUGUUACACCAUUUUAUUGACGAAAGAAGAGUUCAUCCGCAUUUGCCCAAGGUCUUCAUAUUACAUUUGUGUGGAAAGAACCUAAACUCUGGACUAAAAUCCUAGCUACUCUACACUGAAAUUAAACUCAAAAAGACUUCAGAUAUUACAAUAGA
RNAcentral lists this long non-coding RNA (5137 nucleotides) under Taeniopygia guttata (zebra finch). RNAcentral's name for it is "lncRNA (ENSTGUG00000028548.1)". The record is from RNAcentral. Lineage: Eukaryota; Metazoa; Chordata; Aves; Passeriformes; Estrildidae.